RNAcentral lists this ribosomal RNA (389 nucleotides) under uncultured bacterium. RNAcentral describes it as "bacterial SSU rRNA". It matches the Rfam family "Bacterial small subunit ribosomal RNA", at positions 28 to 417 of the family's 1533-position model. The record is from RNAcentral.
GACGAACGCUGGCGGCGUGCUUAACACAUGCAAGUCGAGCGGUAAGGCCCUUUCGGGGGUACGACGAGCGGCGAACGGGUGAGUAACACGUGGGUGACCUGCCCUCAGCUCUGGGAUAAGCCUGGGAAACCGGGUCUAAUACUGGAUAUGACUCCAUGACGCAUGUUGUGGGGUGGAAAGCCUUGUGCGGCUGAGGAUGGGCCCGCGGCCUAUCAGCUUGUUGGUGGGGUGANGGCCUACCAAGGCGACGACGGGUAGCCGGCCUGAGAGGGCGACCGGCCACACUGAGACUGAGACACGGCCCAGACUCCUACGGGAGGCAGCAGUGGGGAAUCUUGCGCAAUGGGCGAAAGCCUGACGCAGCGACGCCGCGUGAGGGAUGACGGCCU